RNAcentral lists this non-coding RNA (179 nucleotides) under Clostridiales bacterium. Its description in RNAcentral is "6S RNA". It matches the Rfam family "6S / SsrS RNA". From Rfam's summary of the family: E. coli 6S RNA was the first non coding RNA to be sequenced, but its function was unknown until recently. It consists of 184 nucleotides that fold into an extended hairpin structure with a large single-stranded internal bulge. The 6S RNA specifically associates with RNA polymerase holoenzyme containing the sigma70 specificity factor. The record is from RNAcentral. Lineage: Bacteria; Bacillati; Bacillota; Clostridia; Eubacteriales.
AUACUCCUGAAAUGUUCGAUACUCCUGAUAUUUUGAACCUACAUGAAUGACAUUGGGAGACUUAUAUCUUGAAGAUUAUGUCAGGCCGCCACAGCAGCGGAAGGCAGAAGCUUCUUUGCGGUAACCCACCUAGCAAUGGCUAGGAGUCAAAAGUCGGGAACCGGCAUUUUGGGUGUAUG